This 788-nucleotide ribosomal RNA is filed under the name Vibrio mediterranei. Its description in RNAcentral is "bacterial SSU rRNA". It matches the Rfam family "Bacterial small subunit ribosomal RNA", at positions 400 to 1179 of the family's 1533-position model. The record is from RNAcentral. Lineage: Bacteria; Pseudomonadati; Pseudomonadota; Gammaproteobacteria; Vibrionales; Vibrionaceae.
CGUGUGUGAAGAAGGCUUUCGGGUUGUAAAGCACUUUCAGCAGUGAGGAAGGCGGGUACGUUAAUAGCGUAUUCGUUUGACGUUAGCUGCAGAAGAAGCACCGGCUAACUCCGUGCCAGCAGCCGCGGUAAUACGGAGGGUGCGAGCGUUAAUCGGAAUUACUGGGCGUAAAGCGCAUGCAGGUGGUUCGUUAAGUCAGAUGUGAAAGCCCGGGGCUCAACCUCGGAACUGCAUUUGAAACUGGCGGACUAGAGUACUGUAGAGGGGGGUAGAAUUUCAGGUGUAGCGGUGAAAUGCGUAGAGAUCUGAAGGAAUACCGGUGGCGAAGGCGGCCCCCUGGACAGAUACUGACACUCAGAUGCGAAAGCGUGGGGAGCAAACAGGAUUAGAUACCCUGGUAGUCCACGCCGUAAACGAUGUCUACUUGGAGGUUGUGGCCUUGAGCCGUGGCUUUCGGAGCUAACGCGUUAAGUAGACCGCCUGGGGAGUACGGUCGCAAGAUUAAAACUCAAAUGAAUUGACGGGGGCCCGCACAAGCGGUGGAGCAUGUGGUUUAAUUCGAUGCAACGCGAAGAACCUUACCUACUCUUGACAUCCAGAGAAGCCAGCGGAGACGCAGGUGUGCCUUCGGGAGCUCUGAGACAGGUGCUGCAUGGCUGUCGUCAGCUCGUGUUGUGAAAUGUUGGGUUAAGUCCCGCGACGAGCGCAACCCUUAUCCUUGUUUGCCAGCGAGUAAUGUCGGGAACUCCAGGGGAGACUGCCGGUGAUAAACCGGAGGAAAGUGGGGA